This 169-nucleotide small RNA is filed under the name human gut metagenome. RNAcentral describes it as "Clostridiales-1 RNA". It matches the Rfam family "Clostridiales-1 RNA". The record is from RNAcentral.
GAUACCAGGGUCAAAAGGUCAAAAAUCCGAUGCAAGUUUGCCUGCAGGUAGAUUUUUGACCUUGGGACCCGCCCAAAACAUGAAUAAGCAGCCAUUUUCCGCAAAAAAAUGAGCGAAUUAUGAAUAUUUUUGAGGAUUGCGAGAGUGCAAAGCACGGAGCAAUCCGGUA